RNAcentral lists this ribosomal RNA (1264 nucleotides) under Curtobacterium sp. 167D. RNAcentral's name for it is "bacterial SSU rRNA". It matches the Rfam family "Bacterial small subunit ribosomal RNA", at positions 117 to 1395 of the family's 1533-position model. Lineage: Bacteria; Bacillati; Actinomycetota; Actinomycetes; Micrococcales; Microbacteriaceae. The record is from RNAcentral.
GUGAGUAACCUGCCCCUGACUCCGGGAUAAGCGUUGGAAACGACGUCUAAUACUGGAUAUGAUCACCGGCCGCAUGGUCUGGUGGUGGAAAGAUUUUUUGGUUGGGGAUGGACUCGCGGCCUAUCAGCUUGUUGGUGAGGUAAUGGCUCACCAAGGCGACGACGGGUAGCCGGCCUGAGAGGGUGACCGGCCACACUGGGACUGAGACACGGCCCAGACUCCUACGGGAGGCAGCAGUGGGGAAUAUUGCACAAUGGGCGAAAGCCUGAUGCAGCAACGCCGCGUGAGGGAUGACGGCCUUCGGGUUGUAAACCUCUUUUAGUAGGGAAGAAGCGAAAGUGACGGUACCUGCAGAAAAAGCACCGGCUAACUACGUGCCAGCAGCCGCGGUAAUACGUAGGGUGCAAGCGUUGUCCGGAAUUAUUGGGCGUAAAGAGCUCGUAGGCGGUUUGUCGCGUCUGCUGUGAAAUCCCGAGGCUCAACCUCGGGCUUGCAGUGGGUACGGGCAGACUAGAGUGCGGUAGGGGAGAUUGGAAUUCCUGGUGUAGCGGUGGAAUGCGCAGAUAUCAGAGGAACACCGAUGGCGAAGGCAGAUCUCUGGGCCGUUACUGACGCUGAGGAGCGAAAGCGUGGGGAGCGAACAGGAUUAGAUACCCUGGUAGUCCACGCCGUAAACGUUGGGCGCUAGAUGUAGGGACCUUUCCACGGUUUCUGUGUCGUAGCUAACGCAUUAAGCGCCCCGCCUGGGGAGUACGGCCGCAAGGCUAAAACUCAAAGGAAUUGACGGGGGCCCGCACAAGCGGCGGAGCAUGCGGAUUAAUUCGAUGCAACGCGAAGAACCUUACCAAGGCUUGACAUACACCGGAAACGGCCAGAGAUGGUCGCCCCCUUGUGGUCGGUGUACAGGUGGUGCAUGGUUGUCGUCAGCUCGUGUCGUGAGAUGUUGGGUUAAGUCCCGCAACGAGCGCAACCCUCGUUCUAUGUUGCCAGCGGUUCGGCCGGGGACUCAUAGGAGACUGCCGGGGUCAACUCGGAGGAAGGUGGGGAUGACGUCAAAUCAUCAUGCCCCUUAUGUCUUGGGCUUCACGCAUGCUACAAUGGCCGGUACAAAGGGCUGCGAUACCGUAAGGUGGAGCGAAUCCCAAAAAGCCGGUCUCAGUUCGGAUUGAGGUCUGCAACUCGACCUCAUGAAGUCGGAGUCGCUAGUAAUCGCAGAUCAGCAACGCUGCGGUGAAUACGUUCCCGGGCCUUGUACACACCGCCC